UACGAAGGGAGCUAGCGUUGUUCGGAAUUACUGGGCGUAAAGGGCGCGUAGGCGGGUUUCCAAGUCGGGGGGUGAAAUUCCAGGGCUCAACCCUGGGACGGCCUUCGAUACUGGAAGCCUGGAGAUCGGGAGAGGUGAGUGGAAUUCCGAGUGUAGAGGUGAAAUUCGUAGAUAUUCGGAGGAACACCAGAAGCGAAGGCGGCUCACUGGCCCGAGACUGACGCUGAGGCGCGAAAGCGUGGGGAGCAAACAGG
RNAcentral lists this ribosomal RNA (254 nucleotides) under uncultured bacterium. Its description in RNAcentral is "partial 16S ribosomal RNA". It matches the Rfam family "Bacterial small subunit ribosomal RNA", at positions 524 to 776 of the family's 1533-position model. The record is from RNAcentral.